RNAcentral lists this ribosomal RNA (509 nucleotides) under uncultured bacterium. Its description in RNAcentral is "bacterial SSU rRNA". It matches the Rfam family "Bacterial small subunit ribosomal RNA", at positions 8 to 526 of the family's 1533-position model. The record is from RNAcentral.
AGAGUUUGAUCAUGGCUCAGGACGAACGCUGGCGGCGUGCUUAACACAUGCAAGUCGAACGGUGAAGGUGGGAGCUUGCUCCUACCGGAUCAGUGGCGAACGGGUGAGUAACACGUGAGUAACCUGCCCCAGACUCUGGAAUAACCCCGGGAGACCGGAGCUAAUACCGGAUACGAGACGAAGCUGCAUGGCUAUCGUCUGGAAAGUUUUUCGGUCUGGGAUGGACUCGCGGCCUAUCAGCUUGUUGGUGAGGUAACGGCUCACCAAGGCGACGACGGGUAGCCGGCCUGAGAGGGUGACCGGCCACACUGGGACUGAGACACGGCCCAGACUCCUACGGGAGGCAGCAGUGGGGAAUAUUGGACAAUGGGCGAAAGCCUGAUCCAGCAACGCCGCGUGAGGGAUGACGGCCUUCGGGUUGUAAACCUCUUUCAGUAGGGACGAAGCGCAAGUGACGGUACCUGCAGAAGAAGCGCCGGCUAACUACGUGCCAGCAGCGGCGGUAAUAC